GUGAGGAAUUUUGCGCAAUGGGGGCAACCCUGACGCAGCAACGCCGCGUGAGUGAUGAAGGCCUUCGGGUCGUAAAGCUCUGUCAAGUGGGAAGAACCUAUUAUAUGUUAACAGCGUAUGAUAUUGACGGUACCACUGAAGGAAGCACCGGCUAACUCCGUGCCAGCAGCCGCGGUAAUACGGAGGGUGCAAGCGUUAUUCGGAUUUACUGGGCGUAAAGGGCGCGUAGGCGGUUGGACAAGUCAGGUGUGAAAUCCCGGGGCUUAACUCCGGAAGUGCAUCUGAAACUGUUCGGCUUGAGUAUGGUAGAGGGAAGUGGAAUUCCUGGUGUAGCGGUGAAAUGCGUAGAUAUCAGGAGGAACACCGGUGGCGAAGGCGACUUCCUGGACCAAAACUGACGCUGAGGCGCGAAGGUGUGGGGAGCAAACAGGAUUAGAAACCCGAGUAGUCC
This 451-nucleotide ribosomal RNA is filed under the name uncultured bacterium. RNAcentral's name for it is "bacterial SSU rRNA". It matches the Rfam family "Bacterial small subunit ribosomal RNA", at positions 354 to 796 of the family's 1533-position model. The record is from RNAcentral.